GUAGUAGUGGGUGUAGCGUACCUACUAGCCUACGACGGGUACGGGUUGUGAGAGCAAGAGCCCGGAGAUGGAUUCUGAGACACGAAUCCAGGCCCUACGGGGUGCAGCAGGCGCGAAAACUUUACAAUGCUGGCAACAGCGAUAAGGGAACCUCGAGUGCCAGGUUACAAAUCUGGCUGUCGAGAUGCCUAAAAAGCAUUUCAUAGCAAGGGCCGGGCAAGACCGGUGCCAGCCGCCGCGGUAACGCCGGCGGCUCGAGUGGUAACCGUUAUUAUUGGGUCUAAAGGGUCUGUAGCCGGCCGGAUAAGUCUCUUGAGAAAUCUGGCAGCUUAACUGUCAGGCUUUCAGGAGAUACUGUCUGGCUCGAGGCCGGGAGAGGUGAGAGGUACUUCAGGGGUAGGGGUGAAAUCUUGUAAUCCUUGAAGGACCACCAGUGGCGAAGGCGUCUCACCAGAACGGACCUGACGGCAAGGGACGAAAGCUAGGGGCACGAACCGGAUUAGAUACCCGGGUAGUCCUAGCCGUAAACGAUACUCGCUAGGUGUCGGCCACGGUGCGACCGUUGUCGGUGCCGUAGGGAAGCCGUGAAGCGAGC
This 595-nucleotide ribosomal RNA is filed under the name uncultured archaeon. RNAcentral describes it as "bacterial SSU rRNA". It matches the Rfam family "Archaeal small subunit ribosomal RNA", at positions 229 to 824 of the family's 1478-position model. The record is from RNAcentral.